UUCUAUUUAAGUAGCAUUUAGUUAUUAAAAAAGAAUAUUUGUUAUUUAAAUUAUGUAUAAUGAUCGAAUGUGCUUGUUCUAACAACAACAAUAACUUAAUGAUUCUUAUAACAAUUAAUAAGCUUUCGCUGGCCGCUCGCUUAUUAUAGCGACUGCAAAAAAUGUUACUUUAACACAAAGAGAUGUUGAAUUAGUUAGUAGGACGUGACCCCAUCGCCCUAGCUUCGCCACAGACGCGUGAGCUUCCAUUCAAUGUUUCAUUCUAUGAAAAAAGGCCGCGCCUUUCACCGGCUAUUUUCAGGCGUUUUUAACGCCAGCACAGACAUUCAGGCUUUAUGACAUAAAAGCCUAAAAGCGGUCAAGGUUGUCUCCAAUGUAGGCUUUCUAUGACGUGAAAAGAUCCACGUGAAAGGCUCAUGCACAAUUAAUACGCGUGUGUUUUCGAUAGACAGAAACUUCAUUCCUUAUGUGAAAUUAUGUGUAACUAUGUAAAAUUCUUCCUGAAUCUGUAAACGAAAAUGUUUCACGUUAACGGCGUUUGUAUUUGGACCACAUUUUCAUGUGUCAAAGCAAAUAGGUAUCGAGUGCAAACGACAUUUGGGUUCGCAACUAGCGACGUUCCAGACGUGUCAGAGGUAAGCGACCGAUUCAAAUGCGAUAACCUCGUUGCGACUUUGCUGGAGUCGGGACUGUCGACCGGGCGCCUGCGGGACCUAACCCUCGGCCUCUGACCUGCCCAAACGAACCCUUAUAUUAUAACGCUUUUUGUGUCAACCGUGUCCCAGAAACACCAAGGGACCGUUAACAAGAAAAAAGACACUAUAAAACAUUUUCUUUGUUGCACAAAUACGAAAUACAAGAAGAAAAUGUUGCAUCUGAGAAUUUCCCAGCAAGCUGCCGUCCUACUUGGAGAAUUUUAUGGAUGUUUUAGGAUUUGUAUUUAAAGAAAGAACCUUUGACGCUGCAUUUUACUCCGCUAGAAACAUUAUAUUUGUACAAUGUUUCUAAACACAAACAUUUACCGGAACAACCAACCAAUCUGUUAAAUGUUGAACGCGUGUUACGUUUCACCCUCUCAUGUACUGACGUUUAAUAUUAUGGCAAACAACAACAAAUGCGUGCAAUUCUUCAAGAGAUGAUUUAAAUAUCCACCCAACAGAAAAGUGAUGUGGGAAAAUUAGGGAAAUGUAUAUUAUGUGUUACGCGGGCGAGAUUGGAUCGUAGAGGACCGUCGACCUGUAAGUACUGCCACCGUUUCAAUAGGAAAAUUAUUAUUAACAUAUUUAGGAGAGGUAAGAAAAUUAUUGCUACGCAAAGUGAAGUUUUAUUUGUUUUAAUUUAACGGUCAACCCUUUUAAUUUUUCGGUGCUUCAUAAAGUUGUUAACAAAACGUAACUUUGUAACAACGAGAAAACUUCUGAACUCCGAGUGUUUUACGAAUAAACUCGAUAUAUAAGCUUGCUAGAAAGGUAGAAAUGUAAUAAGUGUAACACUUUCGGUGUGAUUUACACAUAUUUAUAAGAGCUCGCUCGUGCUCGUCGACAUCAAUAUUUAAAACGUCUGUAACCACAUACUCCCCUGUAAUGUGAAGUUCAACAACCUUGGGGAUUGUUAUUGUAGUACAUAUGCGUAUAGUAUAAAUAGCAGUCGCGUAAACAUUUCCCUAGUACGCGCACGCACCCUCCCUGGGGGUGAAAAUAGUCAUAAAACAGAGACAACUUUUUCCCGUCGCGUUGUCGCCGAGACUUUCCAGCGUCGACGAGGUGCGCUAGCCUCAGGCCUUUGAUAACUCAUGAAAAAUCAAGUGCUUCCGACAAUAUCUGAAGUACGUCCUCAACCUCACACCUUCCUGUAUAGCCGAAAUUUGAUCCGGAAUAUUUCCUUCCUUUAGCACGUUCUAGUAAAGACAAUAUCUUUGACAAAAAGCAAAACACAUAAGUAAUUAAAUUAAGACGAUAUCAUUAUUGAAGUUAGGUAACGAAAACUUUAUCGUCUAACAGAAGCGGUUGCUGUAAAGGAGAAAUACAAAAGAGUGCUAAAGUGUUUUACACAGACAAAUGCAAUUGUAUGUUUUAUUCAUUAUAUUCUUUAUUGCUUCGCACUGCAUGCAUCGUAGAUGCACGAAUGAACUGAUUUUCAUGAAUCUCGGCCCUCGGCAGGCAGGCGUCCGAUGCAAAUUGAUGUUUCCAGACACUUUAAUAAUCCUCUUGAAUUUAGUUUAGAGGGUUGGAUAGAGCUGCACUACUGACUACGAGAAAGUGUCGCGUCAGCAAACAAACAGAUACGUGUGUGUGGCAUCUCGCCGCUACGAGCGACUGCUGACGGUACACUUGCUACGCUUCAACAGACACAGUAAGAACAUGUUUGCGAACGGGAAAAAUCGGCAAAUCCCUAGCUGGAACGUUCCAAGGAUCUUUGGAAUGUGAUCCGGGCGUGACCAGCAUACUGUUUAGUCCUCACUGCAAUAAUCAAGACAUCACACAUGGAUAUAUCCAGCCAAUGAACACGAUAUUUGCUGUGUUACGCGAAUUCUUAUGUUUUUACAAAUGUUCAGAAUUUACGUCACGAAUACUUCGUCCGUAGAAUGUCGGUAAUAAUCGCAGGCGAACCUUUUUUUUUUGUAUUAAUAGACUAUGAUACUAAAAUAAUUAUUGUACUACAAUAUUUAUUAUAAUAAAAUAAAUAAAUCUUGUCUUAACGAUCCUACCUCUCAAA
RNAcentral lists this long non-coding RNA (2715 nucleotides) under Pectinophora gossypiella (pink bollworm). Its description in RNAcentral is "uncharacterized LOC126376695". The record is from RNAcentral. Lineage: Eukaryota; Metazoa; Arthropoda; Insecta; Lepidoptera; Gelechiidae.